This 318-nucleotide unclassified non-coding RNA is filed under the name uncultured Thelephora. RNAcentral describes it as "sequence contains 5.8S rRNA gene". The record is from RNAcentral. Lineage: Eukaryota; Fungi; Basidiomycota; Agaricomycetes; Thelephorales; Thelephoraceae.
GAACGCACCUUGCGCCCCUUGGCUAUUCCGAGGAGCAUGCCUGUUUGAGUAUCAUGAACACCUCAACUCUCACGGUUCACCCGUGACGAGCUUGGACUUCUGGAGGUUUUGCUGGCCCAUGGCCGGCUCCUCUCAAAUGGAUCAGCUUACCAGCGUUUGGUGGCGUCAUGGGUGUGAUAACUAUCUACGCUUGUGGCCGUCCGCCAGGUGACCUUCAGCGAUGGGGGUUUGCUGGGGCUUACAAAUGUCUCUCCUCAGCGAAGACAGCUUUUUGAACGUUCGAUCUCAAAUCAGGUAGGACUACCCGCUGAACUUAAG